GGCAAGAUGGCCGAGCGGUCUAAGGCGCCACGUUAAGGAGUUACACCCUUAAUUCAAUUCCGUGGUCCGAAAGGGCGUGAGUUCGAAUCUCACUCUUGUGG
This 101-nucleotide transfer RNA is filed under the name Zasmidium cellare ATCC 36951. It matches the Rfam family "tRNA". Rfam says of the family: Transfer RNA (tRNA) molecules are approximately 80 nucleotides in length. Their secondary structure includes four short double-helical elements and three loops (D, anti-codon, and T loops). Lineage: Eukaryota; Fungi; Ascomycota; Dothideomycetes; Mycosphaerellales; Mycosphaerellaceae. The record is from Rfam by way of RNAcentral.